Actinia tenebrosa (Australian red waratah sea anemone) is the source of this 552-nucleotide long non-coding RNA. The record is from RefSeq and is a predicted model, not a curated record. Lineage: Eukaryota; Metazoa; Cnidaria; Anthozoa; Actiniaria; Actiniidae.
GGAAAGCACUUUUGUCUCUGGUGUUUGAUAACACAGGAUGAGAUCUCCAUUCCUUUGAGCGAGAGGGGUCUUAAAAGUCCAAGAACUUUACAAGGGAUUAUUGAUGACAACAGCAAAUUUCGAGCAGGAGGGUCCAUUCUUAAGAAGGCCAAGCAGUACAACAAUGCUAUAAGACAGCCUAUGUUUAAAAUCCCUCUUGAUCAGGUGUGUCCACCARCUUUACAUGUGAGCAUUGGAAUUUUCAACCGACUUUUCUUACUGUUAGAGCAAUCUAUGAAUAUACUGGAUGUAAAGAUUGCAUAUUCAUUGGCUGGAAAAUAAGAAGCAUGGUAAUGAGGAUUUCAAAAAUUAUGUAAAAGAACUUGAAGAAGCAAAUGAACUUGAGCUACAAGCCAACUUUGAAAAGCAAAAAGCAGAAGAAAUGGAGGAUAUUGCUACGUAUAUCUUGUUAAGCACUGAAGAUGAGGAACAAGGGGAAUGUUUGCUAAAGCAAGCAGAGCAAAUAAGACAUAGAGUUGCUGAAAUGGUAAAUAUAAUCUUCAUAAAUGAACA